Molecule: long non-coding RNA, 1224 nt
Organism: Vicia villosa (hairy vetch)
Lineage: Eukaryota; Viridiplantae; Streptophyta; Magnoliopsida; Fabales; Fabaceae
Exons: 3
Source: RefSeq, a predicted model, not a curated record
AGAAAAAGAACACAGAGCCUUCACGCUCACCAAGUCUCACUACCAUCGAGCAUACCUUCCUUCCUCUAAAUCAUCGUCGAGCUCACCUUGCCAUCUUUCCUCGUUGAUUAUUCUUUCCGUAGAACUCAAUUUCAUUAAUCUCUCUAUUGAACACAAACUCCACUGAAGAACUCAGAAACCCUAAAAUUCAAAUUGAUUAACCCAGAAUUCAAAAAUCCAGAAAAUUGAUUGAACUAAAAAAUCGAUUGAUUUGUUUCCAGAAAUCUUGACACGAAUUUGUUCGUUUCGGUCUCAUUCUUAUCCUUCGUACUUCGUCUUGUUGUCGUGUGCUCCGUAACAAUUAUCCUUCAAGGGUUUGCACUUUGGUUGAGUUUUGUAUGACAUGCCAUAUCACUCGCUAACAUCUAUCUGUCAAUGAAACCCUGUCACAAAUCCUCAUGCAAGAUUUGCCUCUACCUCUUUGAGCUACUUCGGUUUGAGGUUAAUUUCUUAAUAUUGAAAGUGUUAAGGUUCAGUAUUUAGAGUUAUUUAACAUUCUUAUUCUCUCUAUACUUAUUACACUUUGUUUUGGUUUGUUGAUGGUUUUGUUUCAUAUCUUUCUUUGAACAUGUGCGAGGAGAAGGAGGUUUCAUCUGUCUGUGAAGAAACCAAGUAGAAAAUAAAGAUUAUAGAAAACAUGGUGCAUCACAGCCUCUAAACAAAUUUUAUGUUACAGUUUUGAAGCAAGAUGAAAGAGAAGAAACUCAUGAAAAUGAAUAUGAAAAAGAAAAUCCUGCAUCUGAACUAGAGAAGGUUUCUCUUUUAAAUGAUCAAGAAAAGCCUACAGAAGCAAAUGAAAGUUGAAGUGGGUAUUUAAGGUAUAUUCUCUUCUGUAACCAAUUUUCAUUCCACUUCAAGGAUGCAUUUUGAGUCUUUGUUUUGGCUGAGUUAGCCGAUAGGGGAUGGAAGAUUGUGAAGAAAUGAGUCAUGGAUGAGUUUUAAGUCAUUGCAGGCAACCAUUAUCAUAUGCUAACAUGAUGUAGCGUCGGUGUAGAAUUUUGAGAUUAGAGUAAUCCUUAUCCCAAUACUGUUGGAGGUCACUUAUUAGUUUCGUAUUAGUAAUUCUGUUAGUGAAAAUUGAUUCUUGUUGUGAAGAUAAUAGUUUUAAAUGUCAGCAACCAUAGUGAUUUUAAUGCCAACCAACAUAUUAUUAUGAUAAUGGCUUGUGUGAGAGUUCAUAUUAGU